ACUGAAGUCUUCCGGCGGCCGAUGUUGUUGCUUCCGAACGUCCGUCCGAAAUAAACGAGCGACUUUCAGGAGUCGACUUGGGUUUCUUGGUCAAGUUCCGAGCACUCCUCCGAACCACCGACAGGAGUCAAGUCACACCGGCCACGCUGGGACAUUUGAAGAACAACAAAGAUGGACGAUGGAAUUGUGACAAACUCGACGGAGGAAAGAAUGCUGUUGUGUCCAUCGAACGCUCAGUGUCUGUUGCUAUGCCGACCGCCGACCCGCGACCGAUCUCCGCCGCUCGUCGAUGACAUCACUUCCUCCAGGAAGCUGAGACGAGAGAGAGAGAGGCGUGUGCGCAUGUGUCUCGUGUAUGCACGUGUGUAUUUGUGUUUGCGUGUGUAAGUCACCUCUUGGUGUUGAGCAUGGUGCUCCCUCCCAGUACGAUGCGAACGCCAGGUGUGUUGCGGUUCAUGUUGUACACACACAGAGCUUCUUCGUAAGUCGCUCCUCCGAUCACAAACACGACCACGUCCUGGGGUCUGCGCGCACACGCGUGUAAACACACACGCGUCAUUGACAGUUACGCAACGUCAGCGACGAGCCGUCACCUGCCGCGGCGACCCGUCACCUGUCUCUGAGGCUGCUGGCUCCCAAAUACGGAAACUGACUGUCCUUCAGGCGACCUUUCACCAGCUGAUCCAGCGUGUCGUGAAGAAGGGGCUGAUGCUGCGCGUACACGUUCUCCACACCCUGCACGCACACACGCGUGGCGGUGAAGGUGUCACGUGGCGUGUGUGUUUACAGCCGGUCGCCGUGGUGAUUGUGCACACACCUUGAGGCCUUUGAAGAACUGUUUGGUGAUGGCGACGGCGUCUGUCGGCGCGAUGAGGUCACUUCCUCUAACCCUCUUGCCGCCGUACUCCACCAUACAUUGGACCAUCUGACACACAACAACCAAUUUGCGUGGUUGGAUUCACAUUGUCCUUGGUCACCGGUCAACAUCAGGGUACACAUAGACAAACAAAAUACAGUGGUGCCUUGAGAUUUGAGUUUAAUUCGUACCAUGGCCAUGCUCUUAACUCAAAAUACUAUUAUCUCAAAUCGUCUUUCCCAAUUGAAAUGAAUAGAAAUGCAAUUAAUCAAUUGCAGCCUCCCUGUCUUUCCCCAGAAAAAAAAUAGCACUUUAUAAUAUUGUACUUUAUAAAAACACAGCAUGAUACAAUAAUUAAAUAGAAUCUAAAGCAUUAAACAGUUUGCGCCUCGUGAUCUAAUGUUUUAUCCAAGUGUUCUGCGCCUUCUGGUGUGCCACCGGGAGGCGCUAUUUUAUAGUACAGUAAUGCAAACAAAUGAAGAAUACACUUCUUCUGCUCUUCUACCACUCAGUAAGUUGCUGUAAUAUUAGUCUUUUUUUUUUUUUUGUCAACGAUGAAGAAUAUAUCCCAGCGAGUAAUGUUAUAUUAUGUCUAUAUGUGUUGUUCCACCAUAUUUGUUUGAAUGUCUGUUUCUUAAAGGGUUAUAAAACCACGACUGUCGAUUCUGUUAGCAUGUCAACUGUGUUUUCCAUUCAUUUGGCUGUUGUUUGUUAGGAUUAAGCUGGCGGACUUACAUGACGCAAAGCUGUGGUUGUUUUACAAAGGCAACUUGUAAUUCUCUUUUAUUUUAUGCUUAGUUUGUCCAUAAACUGCACCUGGGAUUGGCAUUAAACAGCUUGAAAUCUCUUUUUUUGAUUAAAUGUUCACCAUUUGUUAAUGUCUUGUUGUGAAGUUGAACUGAGUUUACUGCCACCAAGUGCUCAUAUCUCAAGUUUGCGCUUGCAAGUCAAAGCGGAAAUUUGGCCGAACGACGGCUCGUAUCUCAAAAACCCGUAAAUCGGGUCACUCGUAUCUCAAGGUACCACUGUAAUCCUCUCACAUUCACACCUAUAGAUUUUUUUUUUCUCCAUCUUAAAUGAAGCUAGCAUGCCAACCUGUUUUUGGAAUGUGGGAGAAUGCCCCGAACCCUGAACCUCAGAAAUGUGAGGCAGACGUGCCAACCGAUCCAAAGACAUCCGAGUCACAACUUGAGGUGUUUUGAGCACGUACCUUGCGGUGCCUCUCCGACACGCCUCUUCUGCUGAGUUCGUCCAUGAGGCUGGACAGGAUGCUGCUGCUGUGGCGUUCGUAGCGCAGCGCGUACAGCAUCACCAGGCGGACGGCGUCCAGCUCGGACAGGCGCGGGUUCUGCAGCAGGCGGCGCACGUUCUGUAUACACAGCGGGAGCAGCAGGCACAUUUUACUCCGACAAUGGACGUCGGCAGUCAUCGGCAAAAGUUGAUUACAGGCACAUAUACGCCUUAAUUGUUGAAGA
Long non-coding RNA from Phyllopteryx taeniolatus (common seadragon), 2331 nucleotides. RefSeq lists it as uncharacterized. NCBI's taxonomy places the organism in Eukaryota, Metazoa, Chordata, Actinopteri, Syngnathiformes, Syngnathidae. The record is from RefSeq and is a predicted model, not a curated record. The transcript is spliced from 2 exons.